AUGACCCGCCGCCGCAGCCCACGUCUCCAUCCCCAGAUCCCGGCCAAUGAGCAGCCCGCCGGAAUGGCUGUCCGCCGCAGCCCGCGGCUCCUCUCCCAAAAUCACACCACCGAGGAUGGCUCCAGCAUAGCCCUCCGCCGCAGCCCGCGGCUCAACCCUCAGAUCCCCGUGAGUGGCAAGGGCGCCGGAGCGACCCGCCGGCGCAGCUCGCGUCUCAACCCCCAAAUCCGCGUGGGUGAGGAGGGCUCCGGGGUGACCCACCGCCGCAGCCCGCGGCUCAACCCCCAACUCCACGCGAGCGACGAGGGCGCCGGCCGCCGCACCACGCGGCUCCACCACUCGAGCGAGGAGGGCUCCGGAGUUACACGCCGCCGCCGCCGCCGCGGCACCUCGGCGGCUGCGCCUGCCGCCCUGCCGGACGACGACGAUAUGCUCCGGGAGAUCCUCCUGCGCCUCCCGCCUCAGCCGUCCUCCCUCCCGCGCGCUUCCGCCGUCUGCAAACGCUGGCAACGCGUCGCCACCGACCCCCGGUUCCUCAGCAGCUUCUCUGCCCACCACCGCAAGCCGCCCCUCCUCGGCUUCUUUGAGCCCGACUUCUACGACAUCGUGUUCACCUCCAUCCUGGACCCUCCCGACCGCGUCCCUCCCGAGAGGUUCGACGCACGCCGUCAGAUCCGCAGCUUCCGGAAGGCCGAAGUGCUCGGUUGCCGCCACGGCCUCGUCCUCCUCCUGGAGUCAGACGGGUUCAUUGUAUGGGACCCAAUCACCAGCGAGCAUCGCCGCAUCGACGUUCCAGAAGCGUUUGAAAUGUCAUGGUACUUCUAUGGGGCUGUGCUCUGCGCUGCCGCCGACCAGGGCCAUAUGCACGGCAGCUGCCACUCGAGGCCCUUUAAUUUGGUCUUGAUGGCCCCGUGCCAAGGCUCACAAAGCGAUGGUCCACCCAUCGCUUGCGUAUACUCCUCGGAGACUGGACUAUGGGGCGAUCUGAUCUCAACAACGGAUCGAUGUGAGUUUGUUCAUUGUAAUCGUGGGAUCCUUGUUGGUAAUGUCCUUUACUGGUCAUCUAAGAGUGUGAGUGCCGAAUCAAAUUAUUUGGAUUUGGAUGAGCUCGCAGACGACAUAAUUGAGUUUGAUUUGGAUAGCCAGAGUCUUGCUUUGAUCAAGGGGCCUCGAGGACUGAAUUAUUCCACCACGCAUCAGAUAAUCCAGUUAGAGGAUGGUGAUCUUGGUCUUGCCAUAUUGUCUCAUGGUAGAUUCGAAAUGUGGCAGAGGAAGGUCAGUUGUCAAGGUGGUGCCACAUGGUUCCUGCAGAAGACCCUUGACAUUGAUAGUAUUCUUGGGCUCCCUUCUCAGGUUGAGGAAUCAUCGAUGAGAAAGGUGGAAAUACUGGGGUAUGAUGAGGAUAAUGGUGUAAUGUUUUUAUUUCUGGACACCAAUGUCUACAUGCUUCAAGUGAUGUCAAUGCAAUCCAGGAAGCUUCAUCAAAGCCGUUAUGCCAAUAACUGUCAUCCUUUCACAAGUUUCUAUGGACCAGGUGAAGUAGUCAAGGGCUGCUGUUGUCCCUAG
Molecule: ribosomal RNA, 1566 nt
Filed under: Triticum aestivum (bread wheat)
Lineage: Eukaryota; Viridiplantae; Streptophyta; Magnoliopsida; Poales; Poaceae
Description: partial small subunit ribosomal RNA
Source: RNAcentral